Transfer RNA from Babesia microti strain RI, 72 nucleotides. It matches the Rfam family "tRNA". From Rfam's summary of the family: Transfer RNA (tRNA) molecules are approximately 80 nucleotides in length. Their secondary structure includes four short double-helical elements and three loops (D, anti-codon, and T loops). NCBI's taxonomy places the organism in Eukaryota, Apicomplexa, Aconoidasida, Piroplasmida, Babesiidae. The record is from Rfam.
ACCAAAUUAACUUAAUGAAUAAAGUAAUUGAUUCCAAAUCAAUAAAUAUAGGUUUAAUUCCUUUAUUUGGUG